This is a long non-coding RNA of Ictalurus punctatus (channel catfish), 911 nucleotides long. The record is from Ensembl. Lineage: Eukaryota; Metazoa; Chordata; Actinopteri; Siluriformes; Ictaluridae.
GUUAGAGUUAACUCCAGACAGGCCUGCCAUCAUUGAUCCAUGUAAGUCGAUUUGAAUGAUUCUGUAAUGCCCUUAAUCUUUAGGGCAAAAUUGGAAAUGAAAAUACACCUCAGAGAGCCACGAUGGUCAUAAACGAGUUUGAAAAGGAAAUGAAGGAGACGGAAACCUUGAAUUGCGUACAGACCAAAAAAGGAGGGAAAAAAAAAAACGUACGGCUGGAAUUCCUGGAUAUGAUUUCUUAUGUUGGAGAUGGCCGGUGGACGAUUACUCAGUGUUUUGGAUGCCAUGAUCGGUGUGUACCUGUUCCUGGACACAGUUUUCCCUAAACAGUGACCAUUUGUGUAGCAGCCAAACGCAAAACGCCAAAACAAAGACAAGGAGAGAGGAGCGAGAAACAGCUGUGAUGCCAAAUCAGAUUUUCGACAUGCAUGAUCAUGUGGUCGUUGCCGGCUUUAUAAGCAGCAGGACGCAAGCAGAGUUUGGACGCCUUGUGAAGUCGAGGUUUUCUAAUGAAGGACAGACUGCAACAUCUUUGUAAACACCCAAAUCGGUUUCAGAUCGUUUGCGGAUGAGGGGGUCACGGGGAAUCCUGGAGCCUAUCCCAGGGAGCAUCGGGCACAAGGCAGGGUACACCCUGGACAGGGUGCCAAACCAUCGCAGGGCACAAUCGCGUACACAUUCACACACCCAUUCAUACACUUCGGACACUUUAGACAUGCUAAUAAGCCUACCAUGCAUGUCUUUGGACUGGGGGAGGAAACCGGAGUACCCAGAGGAAACCCCCGCAGCACGGUAGGAAUCGAACUCCCAGCCCUGGAGGUGUGAGGCGAACGUGCUAACCACUAAGCCACCGUGCGCCCCUCAACUACAUCACGCCAGUUAAUAACUGGACUCAACUAAAGAUGUGUGCG